GAGACCCACGCCAACAGUUGCCAGCAUGUCCUCCGGGAUGGUGGGGACACUGUUGGGACCGCCUCUGCUAAAGAGGAGGAAGGAAUGGGCAACGGUAGGUCAGCAUGCCCCGAAUUAUCCGGGCUACACGCGGGCUACAAUGGUCAGGACAAUGGGUAUCGACACCGAGAGGUGAAGGCAAUCUCUUAAACCUGUCCUUAGUUCGGAUUGUGGGCUGCAACUCGCCCACAUGAAGCUGGAAUCCGUAGUAAUCGCGUUUCAACAUAGCGCGGUGAAUAC
Molecule: ribosomal RNA, 279 nt
Filed under: uncultured archaeon
Lineage: Archaea
Description: partial 16S rRNA
Rfam family: Archaeal small subunit ribosomal RNA
Source: RNAcentral